GAUGAACGCUGGCGGCGUGCUUAACACAUGCAAGUCGAACGGAAAGGCCUCUUUCGGGGGGUACUCGAGUGGCGAACGGGUGAGUAACACGUGAGUAACCUGCCCUAGACUUUGGGAUAACUUCAGGAAACUGGGGCUAAUACCGGAUAGGAGCUCCUGCUGCAUGGUGGGGGUUGGAAAGUUUCGGCGGUUGGGGAUGGACUCGCGGCUUAUCAGCUUGUUGGUGGGGUAGUGGCUUACCAAGGCUUUGACGGGUAGCCGGCCUGAGAGGGUGACCGGCCACAUUGGGACUGAGAUACGGCCCAGACUCCUACGGGAGGCAGCAGUGGGGAAUAUUGCACAAUGGGUGGAAGCCUGAUGCAGCAACGCCGUGUGCGGGAUGACGGCCUUCGGGUUGUAAACCGCUUUCGCUCAUGACGAAGCUUUGUGUGACGGUAGUGGGUAAAGAAGCACCGGCUAACUACGUG
RNAcentral lists this ribosomal RNA (467 nucleotides) under uncultured bacterium. Its description in RNAcentral is "partial 16S ribosomal RNA". It matches the Rfam family "Bacterial small subunit ribosomal RNA", at positions 28 to 507 of the family's 1533-position model. The record is from RNAcentral.